Molecule: unclassified non-coding RNA, 397 nt
Filed under: soil metagenome
Description: partial contains 5.8S ribosomal RNA, internal transcribed spacer 2, and large subunit ribosomal RNA
Rfam family: 5.8S ribosomal RNA (bases 1-120)
Source: RNAcentral
GAUGAAGAACGCAGCGAAAUGUGAUAAGUAAUGUGAAUUGCAGAAUUCAGUGAAUCAUCGAAUCUUUGAACGCACCUUGCGCUCUCUGGUAUUCCGGAGAGCAUGUCUGUUUGAGUGUCAUGAACUCUUCAACCUACCGGUUUCUAGUAAAUCGGAUCAGUGUUUGGAUUCUGAACGCCUGCUGGCCUUUAUUGGCGAAGCUCGUUCGUAAAUGAUUAGCAUCUCAUAUUCGAAAAUCGGAUUGACUCAGUGUAAUAGACUAUUCGCUGAGGACGCUCUUUCGGGAGUGGCCGAGUUUUGUAAAGUAGAAGCUUCUAAUUCUAUUAGUCAACUUUAGAUUAGACCUCAGAUCAGGCAGGAUUACCCGCUGAACUUAAGCAUAUCAAUAAGCGGAGGA